RNAcentral lists this ribosomal RNA (465 nucleotides) under uncultured bacterium. Its description in RNAcentral is "bacterial SSU rRNA". It matches the Rfam family "Bacterial small subunit ribosomal RNA", at positions 29 to 524 of the family's 1533-position model. The record is from RNAcentral.
AAUCAACGCUGGCGGCGCGCUUAACACAUGCAAGUCGAGCGAGAAAGGGGAGCAAUCCCUGAGUACAGCGGCGUACGGGUGAGUAACACGUGGGUAAUCUGCCUUUUAGUGGGGAAUAACCCUGGGAAACCGGGGCUAAUACCGCAUAAUCCUGUGAAGGGAAAGCAGCAAUGCGCUGAAAGAGGAGCCCGCGGCCGAUUAGCUAGUUGGUGAGGUAACGGCUCACCAAGGCGGUGAUCGGUAGCCGGCCUGAGAGGGCACACGGCCACACUGGCACUGAAACACGGGCCAGACUCCUACGGGAGGCAGCGGUGGGAAGUCUUGCACAAUGGAGGCAACUCUGAUGCAGCGACGCCGCGUGAGCGAUGAAGCCCCUCGGGGUGUAAAGCUCUUUCGGGCAGGGACGAUAAUGACGGUACCUGAAGAAGAAGCUGCGGCUAACUACGUGCCAGCCGCCGCAGUAAC